RNAcentral lists this long non-coding RNA (1156 nucleotides) under Homo sapiens (human). Its description in RNAcentral is "HSALNT0145685". The record is from RNAcentral. Lineage: Eukaryota; Metazoa; Chordata; Mammalia; Primates; Hominidae.
ACAGCAGCAGCAGCUGUGACAGCUAUAAGGCCCAUGAUCACAGCUAUUAAAUCUACAGGUGUAUCCAGCAGCUCCGGAGAGACAGCGGCUAGCGAGAACGGACCAUGAUGAUGAUGGCGGUUUUGUCAAAAAGAAAAGGGGGAUAUGUAGGGAAAAGAGAGAGAGAUCAGACUGUUACUGUGUCUAUGUAGAAAGGGAAGACAUAAGAGACUCCAUUUUGAAAAAGACCUGUACUUUGAACAAUUGCUUUGCUCAGAUGUUGUUAAUUUGUAGUUUUGCCCCAGCCACUUUGACCCAACCUGGAGCUCAUAAAAACAUGUGUUGUAUGAAGUCAAGGUUUAAGGGAUCUAGGGCUGUGCAGGAUGUGCCUUGUUAACAAAAUGUUUACAAGCAGUAUACUUGGCAAAAGUCAUUGCCAUUCUCUAGUGUCAACAAACCACAGGCAUAAUGCACUGCAGAAACCCACAGGGAACUCUGCCCUUGAAAGCUGGGUAUCGUCCAAGGUUUCUCCCCAUGUGAUAGUCGGAAAUAUGGCCUCAUGAGAUGAGAAAGACCUGACUGUCCCCCAGCCCGACACCCGUAAAGGGUCUGUGCUGAGGUGGAUUGGUAAAAGAGGAAAGCCUCUUGCAGUUGAGAUAGAGGAAGGCCACUGUCUCCUGCCUGCCCCUGGGAACUGAACGUCUUGGUAUAAAACCCGAUUGUACAUUUGUUCAAUUCUGAGAUAGGAGAAAAACCGCCCUAUGGUGGGAGGUGAGACAUGUUGGCAGCAAUGCUGCCUUGUUAUUCUUUACUCCACUGAGAUGUUUGGGUGGAGAGAAACAUAAAUCUGGCCUAUGUGCACAUCCAGGCAUAGUACUUUCCCUUGAACUUAAUUAUGACAUAGAUUCCUUUGCUCACAUGCUUUUUGCUGACCUUCUCCUUAUUAUCACCCUGCUCUCCUACUACAUUCCUUUCUGCUGAAAUCAUGAAAAUAAUAAUCAAUAAAAACUGAGGGAACUCAGAGACCGGUGCCGGUGCAGGUCCUUGGUGUGCCGAGUGCCGCUCUCCUGGGCCCACUGUUGUUUCUCUAUACUUUGUCACUGUGUCUUAUUUCUUUUCUCAGUCUCCCAUCCCACCUGACUAGAAAUACCCACAGGUGUGGAGGGGCAGGCCACCC